Molecule: ribosomal RNA, 342 nt
Filed under: uncultured Methanolinea sp.
Lineage: Archaea; Methanobacteriati; Methanobacteriota; Methanomicrobia; Methanomicrobiales; Methanoregulaceae
Description: bacterial SSU rRNA
Rfam family: Archaeal small subunit ribosomal RNA
Source: RNAcentral
CCGUCGUCAGUUCGUACUGUGAAGCAUCCUGUUAAGUCAGGCAACGAGCGAGACCCACGCCAACAGUUGCCAGCAUGUCCUCCGGGAUGGAUGGGGACACUGUUGGGACCGCCUCUGCUAAAGAGGAGGAAGGAAUGGGCAACGGUAGGUCAGCAUGCCCCGAAUUAUCCGGGCUACACGCGGGCUACAAUGGUCAGGACAAUGGGUAUCGACACCGAGAGGUGGAGGCAAUCUCCUAAACCUGUCCCUAGUUCGGAUUGUGGGCUGCAACUCGCCCACAUGAAGCUGGAAUCCGUAGUAAUCGCGUUUCAAAAUAGCGCGGUGAAUAUGUCCCUGCUCCUU